This 429-nucleotide ribosomal RNA is filed under the name Bacteroidota bacterium. RNAcentral describes it as "Bacteroidetes bacterium partial 16S ribosomal RNA". It matches the Rfam family "Bacterial small subunit ribosomal RNA", at positions 355 to 776 of the family's 1533-position model. The record is from RNAcentral. Lineage: Bacteria; Pseudomonadati; Bacteroidota.
UAGGGAAUCUUCCGCAAUGGACGCAAGUCUGACGGAGCAACGCCGCGUGAGUGAAGAAGGAUUUCGGUUCGUAAAACUCUGUUGUUAGAGAAGAACAGCGCAUAGAGUAACUGUUAUGCGUGUGACGGUAUCUAACCAGAAAGCCACGGCUAACUACGUGCCAGCAGCCGCGGUAAUACGUAGGUGGCAAGCGUUGUCCGGAUUUAUUGGGCGUAAAGCGAGCGCAGGCGGUCAAUUAAGUCUGAUGUGAAAGCCCCCGGCUCAACCGGGGAGGGUCAUUGGAAACUGGUUGACUUGAGUGUAGAAGAGGAGAGUGGAAUUCCAUGUGUAGCGGUGAAAUGCGUAGAUAUAUGGAGGAACACCAGUGGCGAAGGCGACUCUCUGGUCUGUAACUGACGCUGAGGUUCGAAAGCGUGGGUAGCAAACAGG